This 238-nucleotide ribosomal RNA is filed under the name Streptomyces sp. SID10815. RNAcentral describes it as "partial 16S ribosomal RNA". It matches the Rfam family "Bacterial small subunit ribosomal RNA", at positions 1 to 240 of the family's 1533-position model. The record is from RNAcentral. Lineage: Bacteria; Bacillati; Actinomycetota; Actinomycetes; Kitasatosporales; Streptomycetaceae.
CAUUCACGGAGAGUUUGAUCCUGGCUCAGGACGAACGCUGGCGGCGUGCUUAACACAUGCAAGUCGAACGAUGAACCACUUCGGUGGGGAUUAGUGGCGAACGGGUGAGUAACACGUGGGCAAUCUACCCUUCACUCUGGGACAAGCCCUGGAAACGGGGUCUAAUACCGGAUACAACCGCUGACCGCAUGGUCGGGCGGUGGAAAGCUCCGGCGGUGAAGGAUGAGCCCGCGGCCUA